UGGGGAAUCUUCCGCAAUGGACGAAAGUCUGACGGAGCAACGCCGCGUGAGUGAAGAAGGUUUUCGGAUCGUAAAACUCUGUCUUUUGGGGCGAACGUGAGUAUGGUGAACAAUCAUAGUCAGUGACGGUACCAAAGGAGGAAGCCACGGCUAACUACGUGCCAGCAGCCGCGGUAAUACGUAGGUGGCAAGCGUUGUCCGGAAUUAUUGGGCGUAAAGAGCGCGUAGGCGGGAUAGUCAGUCUGUUGUAAAAGUGCGGGGCUCAACCCCGUGAUGGCAAUGGAAACAGCUAUUCUUGAGUGCAGGAGAGGAAAGUGGAAUUCCCAGUGUAGCGGUGAAAUGCGUAGAUAUUGGGAGGAACACCAGUGGCGAAGGCGACUUUCUGGACUGUGUCUGACGCUGAGGCGCGAAAGCCAGGGGAGCGAACGGGAUUAGAUACCCCGGUAGUCCUGGCCGUAAACGAUGGGUACUAGGUGUGGGAGGUAUCGACCCCUUCCGUGCCGGAGUUAACGCAAUAAGUACCCCCGCCUGGGGAGUACGGUCGCAAGACUGAAACUCAAAGGAAUUGACGGGGUCAUAGCUGUUUCCU
RNAcentral lists this ribosomal RNA (589 nucleotides) under uncultured bacterium. Its description in RNAcentral is "partial 16S ribosomal RNA". It matches the Rfam family "Bacterial small subunit ribosomal RNA", at positions 355 to 1375 of the family's 1533-position model. The record is from RNAcentral.